AAGUCGUAACAAGGUCUCCGUUGGUGAACCAGCGGAGGGAUCAUUACUGAGUACUACACUCUCUACCCUUUGUGAACUAUUAUACCUGUUGCUUCGGCGGCGCCCGCAAGGGUGCCCGCCGGUCUCAUCAGAAUCUCUGUUUUCGAACCCGACGAUACUUCUGAGUGUUCUUAGCGAACUGUCAAAACUUUUAACAACGGAUCUCUUGGCUCCAGCAUCGAUGAAGAACGCAGCGAAACGCGAUAUGUAAUGUGAAUUGCAGAAUUCAGUGAAUCAUCGAAUCUUUGAACGCACAUGGCGCCUUCCAGUAUCCUGGGAGGCAUGCCUGUCCGAGCGUCGUUUCAACCCUCGAGCCCCUGUGGCCCGGCGUUGGGGAUCUGCCACGGCAGGCCCCUAAAACCAGUGGCGGACCCGAAGGGCCCUCUCCUUUGCGCAGUAGCAUUCGCCUCGCAUCGGGAGUCCUCGGCGUCCUGCCUCUAAACCCCCCACAAGCCCGCUUCGGCGGCACCAAGGUUGACCUCGGAUCAGGUAGGAAUACCCGCCUGAACUUAA
Molecule: ribosomal RNA, 552 nt
Filed under: uncultured fungus
Lineage: Eukaryota; Fungi
Description: eukaryotic LSU rRNA
Rfam family: 5.8S ribosomal RNA (bases 186-339)
Source: RNAcentral